RNAcentral lists this ribosomal RNA (709 nucleotides) under uncultured bacterium. Its description in RNAcentral is "bacterial SSU rRNA". It matches the Rfam family "Bacterial small subunit ribosomal RNA", at positions 94 to 801 of the family's 1533-position model. The record is from RNAcentral.
ACCGGCGCACGGGUGCGUAACACGUAUGCAACCUACCCAUAAGCGGGGAAUAACCCGGAGAAAUCCGGACUAAUACCGCAUAGUACGUUUGAGUGGCAUCACUUAAACUUUAAAGAUUUAUCACUUAUGGAUGGACAUGCGCAUGAUUAGAUAGUAGGCGGGGUAACGGCCCACCUAGUCAACGAUCAUUAGGGGUUCUGAGAGGAAGGUCCCCCACAUUGGUACUGAGACACGGACCAAACUCCUACGGGAGGCAGCAGUGAGGAAUAUUGGUCAAUGGGCGAGAGCCUGAACCAGCCAAGUCGCGUGAAGGAAGAAGGAUCUAUGGUUCGUAAACUUCUUUUUUAGGGGAAUAAAGUGCGGUACGUGUACCGUUUUGUAUGUACCCUACGAAUAAGGAUCGGCUAACUCCGUGCCAGCAGCCGCGGUAAUACGGAGGAUCCGAGCGUUAUCCGGAUUUAUUGGGUUUAAAGGGUGCGUAGGCGGAAGAAUAAGUCAGUGGUGAAAGUUUGCAGCUCAACUGUAAAAUUGCCGUUGAAACUGUUAUUCUUGAGUGUAAAUGAGGUAGGCGGAAUGUGUUGUGUAGCGGUGAAAUGCAUAGAUAUGACGCGGAACGCCGAUUGCGAAGGCGGCUUACUAAGAUACGACUGACGCUGAGGCACGAAAGCGUGGGGAUCGAACGGGAUUAGAGACCCUGGUAGUCCACGCC